AUGCGUUAUUAUGACCCAAGUAUAUUAACCAUCUAAAAACCCUAAAUCUCCCAGACGCCUUCUCCUUCACGCUAGAACCCUCUUUAUGGUUCCUCCUUCUCUCAAACCCCAACUAUCAAUUCCACAGCAAUCUUCGUUGAUAUCUUAUUUACAAUCAUCAGAUAUUCACACCGAUCAUCCUCUUCAAUGAUACAGGCAAAUUGCGAUGGUAUUUGAUGGUCACUUUCUUUGUUCGUGUGUGGAUUCUGAAUCUGGAAAGUUCGUUUUAGGAUUGAAGAUCCUUCGUUUUCUGCAUAUGCUGGGUUUGAAGAUUUAUCUCUUCGUAGGUUUACCAGAAAUAAGUUCAAUUUAGAGACAAAAUGAACGAUUGGUGUCGAGUUCGCUAUCUGAAGUCUUAAUAUUGAUGGGAAGGUCAUCAAGGCUCAGAUUUGGGACACUGCUGGUCAAGAAAGGAUGUAGGGGCUGUAGGGGCCACACUGGUAAUUUGUCAACGGGGCUUCUAUGACGAAGCAAAUCAUUUGUUAAUGCACAGAGAUUUGCCAGCUGCCGGACGGGCUGGCGUUGUAUAGCAAUCGGUUUAUGCUUUUUAGUUAGCUGUUUAUAACAAUUUUGCUUUAAUACACAACGUUACUAUAGUUUCUAAAAAUCUUUUUAUCUAAUCUUGUGCAGGCGGUAGAAUUGUUCCCUGGUUCCAGGAACUAACAACUGAAAAAAUAGGAAAGACUGGUUUGGUUAGAGAAAAGGCAUUUGGUACCACAAAAGAUCGAAUGUUUUAUAUUGAGCACUGUGCAAACUCAAAGGCUGUAACCAUUUUCAUCCAUGGAGGUAACAAGAUGAUGAUCGAGGAGACAAAACGCAGCAUCCAAGAUGCACUAUGUGUCGCUAGAAAUGUUAUUCGUAAUAACUCGUUUGCAUACGGUAGCGGAGCUGCAGAAAUUUCAUGCUCAAUUGCAGUUGAAGCUGCGGCUGACCUGGUAGCAACAACUCUCUGGGACGGCUGCAUUCUCAUCUUUAGCAGCGGAAGCACUCGGUGCUAGCUUCAUUGCUUCGUUAUCAGGUGUAGAUUUCCAACAGGGUCCUCCUGUUCCUUCAACACUAUCCAUUAUUGCAGUUCCAAUAAUUGCAACCAACCACAUAAUGCAGUUGAUUUUCAUUGGUGAGUGAUCUGUGUAUAUUUAUUAUUAGCCAUUCUCUUUCUCUUGAGGUUUUACACAUGUAAGUCUUUUAACAAAAGAAAAAUGUUUUUAUUAUCAAAACCUCAUUAGAUAAUGGAUCCACUUAAAUUUUGAAACCACCUGUAUUCCUAAGGUGAGUGAUUGUUACCAAACCUUAUUGCUUUUAUCUCCCAUUUUGAUCUUUGUAAGUUUGACUUCUGAUUACUAUUACUUUAGCACUACCUUAUUAACAAGAUUAAUGUUGAAAACGGUAAAAAAAGUUAGGAAAACAAUUUUUUUUAUGCUAGAAUUAUUUACCAUAUAUUUUAAAUAUUAUAUAUUUGGGUUCGGAUAGAAUAGUUUGGCAUUAAUAGUUUGGGUAAUUUAGAUGUGUUUCAUUCAAUAACAUUGUAGAUCCAAGACAACGAAAGAUUUUAAAUUCAAUUUCAUGCGCGCCUCGUCCCUAUAAAUCAUGCUUGAUCCCCGACCCAUGGGGUUGUACAUGAGAAUGGAUGCGAACGCACACAGGUCUUGUGUUGUGUAUUAAUACUACAUCAACUUUUUACACCCCCCCCCCAAUCACUUAUCGGUUUGUGGUAAUCUUAUGUUACUCACUUUUUAAGUUUUGAAAAUUGUAGAUUGAUCUACAGGGAAUAUUUGCAAGUAAUUUUGUUCCUUUCAGCCAAGGAGUGCUGCUGUCAUUGUUGCAACAAUUGGCAUGUGAUAUUGGGAAUGAUAUCUCUAAGAAACUUGGUUGGAUGAUGGAUGUGGUGGUGGCGAUUAAACCAACUGAUGGGAUCAUCUCAAUGCAUAUAUAAGGCAAGGCCCAUAUUUGAAGCAGAAGCUGCUGAGCUUUCCAGUAUUCGUGUGGUCACGAAACUCAUAAACUCGACGUUAAGGAGCAUAGGGAACUCAAUUUACUACGGGAAAGGUUUUGGUAACUCGAAGGAUAUGCAUCUUCAAAGGGACUCGACUAUCUUUAAAUUGUGUAUCCACUGUAUCACUAAUUUAUGUAACAUGAGACUUUGUAUUUUAUUUUAUUUGUACACUUAAUAUUUAUCUUAAUAGUUUUCUCCAACCCGGGUAGCACCCGGGUGAUAACCUAGUUAUUGUUAUAUUUUCUAACUUAUAGCGCAUACCAGUUGAAGUAGCACGGAUCACAGGAAUUGACGAAACAUUGAAAGUUAAGAUCGCCAACAGGCAAAAUGUGGAGACAAAACAUGAUGUUAGGCCGGAGCCAAAUAAAAACAGUAUGAAGUACGUUGUGAAAGGCUGGGCGAAAUGGCUAAAAGAUAACAACAUACAAGAAGGUUUGACCCAUCAUAUAUGGUAAUUUUGGCUAAUGAAGGAAGCUACAGUAAGUUAUGUAGUGUUAAAAGUUGUUUUGUAGUAGGUUAACAUGUUUCUAGUUAACAUCUUUAUGUAUUAUGGACUUCUAGUACGUAACCGUGAUUAUAAAUAUCAACUUGUUCUA
Helianthus annuus (common sunflower) is the source of this 2628-nucleotide long non-coding RNA. RefSeq lists it as uncharacterized. Lineage: Eukaryota; Viridiplantae; Streptophyta; Magnoliopsida; Asterales; Asteraceae. The record is from RefSeq and is a predicted model, not a curated record. The transcript is spliced from 10 exons.